This 582-nucleotide ribosomal RNA is filed under the name Malassezia furfur. Its description in RNAcentral is "eukaryotic LSU rRNA". It matches the Rfam family "Eukaryotic large subunit ribosomal RNA", at positions 66 to 635 of the family's 3401-position model. The record is from RNAcentral. Lineage: Eukaryota; Fungi; Basidiomycota; Malasseziomycetes; Malasseziales; Malasseziaceae.
UAACAAGGAUUCCCCUAGUAACGGCGAGUGAAGAGGGAAGAGCUCAAAUUUGAAAGCUGGUACCUUCGGUAUCCGCGUUGUAACCUCGAGACACGUUUUCCGUGCGGCGCUAUGGACAAGUUCCUUGGAACAGGACAUCGUAGAGGGUGAAAAUCCCGUACUUGCCAUGGAUGUACCGUGCUUUGCGAUACGUGCUCUAAGAGUCGAGUUGUUUGGGAUUGCAGCUCAAAAUGGGUGGUAGACUCCAUCUAAAGCUAAAUAUCGGGGAGAGACCGAUAGCGAACAAGUACCGUGAGGGAAAGAUGAAAAGCACUUUGGAAAGAGAGUUAAAAGUACGUGAAAUUGUCGAAAGGGAAGCGCUUGAAGUCAGCCAUGCCGCUCAGGACUCAGCCUGGCUUUUGCUUGGUGUAUUUCCUGGGUAGCAAGUCAGCAUUGGUUUGGAUCGUCGGAGAAGCAUAGUCGGAAUGUGGCGCCCUCGGGCGUGUUAUAGCCUUCUAUUGGAUACGACGAUCUAGACCAAGGAACGCAGCGCGCCUUAUGGCGGGUCUUCGGACACCUUCGCGCUUAGGAUGCUGGCGUAAU